CCUUUCAACUCCAGCAUGGCAGUUCUGCCAAGGAAAUGUAAUAUACUGUUAAAAGGAAACUAGGAAAACUACAGACUUUUUGUAUCUGCAAACUCCUUGGUCUAACAUGACUUAUCUAGGAUGUGGCACAGGGAAUGGAUCUGAAUUUGGAACUGGACUUUAACCCUAAGAAAACGGGUAUGAAUAAGGACAAAGAUCACUUACCUUUUUGUCACUCGGCAUUUCGAAUGUCAACAUUUGAAUAGGAAGCCAUCUUUGGAUCUCCUACAUCCUAUGCAUGACUGCUGCCGUACUACUCUGUGCUGUGCAACCCAUCUAUAAACCUCAGCUGAAGUAUUAAACAAUG
This is a long non-coding RNA of Protopterus annectens (West African lungfish), 346 nucleotides long. RefSeq lists it as uncharacterized. The transcript has 3 exons. NCBI's taxonomy places the organism in Eukaryota, Metazoa, Chordata, Ceratodontiformes, Protopteridae. The record is from RefSeq and is a predicted model, not a curated record.